GCAAGAAAAGCUCAGGUUGUUGUCACACAGGACACAACCUUUUGCUUGGCUUUUGUAGAUGCUUUGCCACCAUAUCUUCUCCCAUCCAAUCUCUCCAAGUUUCCUCCAUUGUUUUUCUCUCUUUAGGCAUGUCUUUGUCUGCGUUAUAAAAACGCGGUCCUUGAUUUCCCUUUCUUUUAUGCUAAAACACAAAAGUUAGCACUCAUGCAUGACAAAAAGUAAUUGAAAUGUAGGCCUCAAAUCUCUCUCCCAUCUCCCAUUUUAUCUCAUUUUCACAGCCAUAUUGGUCCAUUUUCCUUUUUCUUUGGACCAUACAACUUAUUAGUGGAGCUUUGGUUCCACAAAACUCUUACUUGGACGGCUUCCAAAUCUGAGAUUUCCCCUCCAUCUUUCUAUCCCCACUUCCCUCCUUUGUUUUCCAACCUUGUCUUUGAAACUUUAUGUGAUCUCAACAAUGGUCAACAAGCAUUCGUAGAAAGGUCACUUUCAUGGCCUCCUGUGUUCUUUUCUACAAACGACAUCCAACCAAUUAGUAUGUUUAUAUCACAGAUUUUAUUAUGUUGAAAUUAUGUGAAGUAAAUACAUCAAACUCAAACUUAUUAUUGUAGAUCACAAACAAGGCAGGAUACAAAAAGCAAGUUGAUGAGGACUAACAUUAUAUUAAUUUAAGAUUUUUAUGCAUUUUUUUCUUACUAAUUACAGGAUCAUCUUUUAUAGAACAUAGAGAUUCAAAUAAAAUCACACCAAAAGUUUCAAUAAAGAUAUUUAAAGAAUCAUCAAUUAUAUAUUUCAUUGGAGUUAAGAAGGAAAAAAUAGAUCUUGCACAUUUCAUUAAUAGAGAAAAGUUGACAAUUGACCACAAUAUUCUUAAGAUUUAAGUUUCUUAAUGGAGAAGGAAAGAAUCAAAGAGACCUAUAGACGGGGAAAUUCAAGGAAUCCUAGACCUAUCCUUGACCUAGAGCCUUUGUCUCGGGUUGUCGAAUCUCACCCUUACUAGAGGAAGGAAAGUCACGAGGCUAAGAGCGCAUCUUAUGCCUAGUGGUUUUGGAGUGGGUGAUUGGAAUUCUUAUAUCGAACCCAGGUUAGGGAUGCACCUCCCUUCCCUCCCAUAUUGGCACCUGUAAGACUUUUUCAUCUCUGCUUUUUGACUUUCCAGCGAGACUCCACUUUAGAUCCGCCGAGCUUAGUUUAUAACCUACAGCAAGGUAGGGUUGACAAUAGUGGCGGGGACGGGGGGGCUGGUGGGAGCUCCGCCCCUCCCCUGCAAAGAAAUAGAUUUAU
This 1281-nucleotide long non-coding RNA is filed under the name Populus trichocarpa (black cottonwood). RNAcentral describes it as "long non-coding RNA (PTRI_LNC000124)". The record is from RNAcentral. Lineage: Eukaryota; Viridiplantae; Streptophyta; Magnoliopsida; Malpighiales; Salicaceae.